RNAcentral lists this long non-coding RNA (31912 nucleotides) under Nicotiana benthamiana. Its description in RNAcentral is "long non-coding RNA (NBEN_LNC005056)". The stretch from base 13224 to 13377 matches the Rfam family "Plant small nucleolar RNA U3". Lineage: Eukaryota; Viridiplantae; Streptophyta; Magnoliopsida; Solanales; Solanaceae. The record is from RNAcentral.
AAGGUUGAACUCAUGUUUUUUCGAUGGCCUUGGCCAUUGGGAUGUUGCUUCGAACUGUCAUCGAAGUAGUAUCACGUCGUAGUUCGAACGAGGUCGAACUCAUAUUUUAUCUACGGCCUUGGACAUUGGGAUGUUGGUUUGAACUUUCAUCAAAGUAGUCAUCGUAGUUCGAAUGAGGACAAACUCAUGUUUUGUCGAUGGCCUUGGCCAUUGGGGUGUUGCUUCAAACUGUCAUCGAAGUAGUAUCCCAUCGUAUUUCCAAUGAGGUCGAACUCAUAUUUUAUCGAUUUGACCGUGUUCCUAUAGGAAGACGUCUCCUGUCGGUUAGUGGAGAUCUGGUUCUGCAUAUUCUAUGGAGAUACUCAUGUUUUAUCGAUGUCCUUGGCUAUUAGGAUGUUGCUUCGAACUGUUGUUGAAGUACCAUUUGUCGUAGUUCUAAUGAGGUCGAACUCAUGUUUUGUCGAUGGCCAUUAGGAUGUUGCUCCAAACUAUCAUUGAGGUAUCAUCCCGUCGUAAUUUGAAAGAGGUCGAACUCAUAUUUUAUCGAUUUGACCGUAUUCCCCUUAGAAGACGUCACCUAUAGAUUAGUGGAGAUCUGGUUGUGCACAUGCUAUGGAGAUACUCAUGUUUUGUCGAUGGCCUUGGCCAUUGUGAUGUUGCUUCAAACUGUCGUUGAAGUAGCAUCCCGCUGUAGUCCGAACAAGGUCAAACUCAUGUUUGGGGAUUUGACCGUGUUCCAACAGGAAGACAUCACAUGUCGGUUAGUGGAGAUCUAGUUCUGCACAUGCAAUGGAGAUUAAAUUUCGUACAUACAAUGGAGAUUAGAUUCCGUUUAUACAAUGGAGAUUAGAUUUCGUUCAUACAAUGGAGAUUAGAUUCCAUUCAUACAAUGGAGAUUGGAUUCUCUAUAUGUAAUCCCUUCAUUACUUUGAUCCCGAGAUCAUGUCAAUGGGUUGAGGUAAUGAACAGCGUGUCGACCCGUAAGGCGUCUCUCUUUCCGCCUCAUUAAAAAUCUUCCCAGGAAAACCUGAUUGGGACAUAACCCGGGUGAGGUAAAAAGAGUACAAUUUAAGUGACACCUUUUAGAAGUGUAAAUACUUGAGGUGGGCGAUGUUCCAGUUUUUACGAGCAGUUUUCCCUCCAUUGUUUCAAUUUAGAACGCUCAUUUGUUCGCUGUUGCUACAAUUUUAUAGGGUCCCUCCCAGUUUGUUCCUAACUUUCCUUUGUUUGGAUCCUUUGAUGCUUGCGUUUUGGCCUUGAGGACGUAGUCGCCGACUUUGAGUGAUCACGCAUUGGCUCUAUGUUGUAUUAUCUUUCUACUUGCUGCUUCUGGGCUACCAUUCUUACGUGGGCCAUAUCACUUCGUCCUUCAAUUUCAUCCAGAUAUUGUAGCCUACUUUCGUCGUUAUCUGCUCCGUUCUUGUUGGAGUAUCUCAAGCUGGUUUCCUCGACCUCGACGGGUAUAACUACGUCAGUCCUAUAGACCAGUGAGUAUGGUGUUUCUCCGAUGAUGGAUUUUGGUGUGGUGUGGUAUGCUCAUACAGGUAGUAGUUCAGGCCAUAGACUUUUAGCUUCCUCGAGCUUCUUUUUCAAUAUGUGAAGUAUUACUUUGUUGGAGGACUCCAUUUGGCCAUUGGCCUUAGGGUGAUGCAGACGGGAAAGUAUCCGUUUGAUGUGCCACUUUUCGAAGAAAUCAGUUGUUCUUUUUCCAACAAAUUGAGGUCCAUUAUCGCACCAAAUUUCCUUGGGGAUUCCAAAAUGGCAUAUAAUGUUUUUCCAUAUAAAGGCGAUGACCACCUGCUCACGUAUCUGAGUGUCCGCUCGACUGCAUUGUUAAAACUUGUUAGUGUUAUGCAACACAGUAUUAUUUUAUCCUCAAGCCUCAUUUGCAUGAGAACUCGCAGGUGAACAAUAUACGCGCCGCUUUUGUUGUCUACCGUGAUUCUUUUUACAUAUGUAUCAGUGAUGUGUAAAGUAAUAACUAAAGCAUCAUAGAGAGGAAAAGACAAACCAUCAGCAUCUGACUUAUCGUAGAUGAUACUGUCUUCAAGAUCAUCAUACCAUUUGUGGGCGACUAUCCAUUUGAGUUUAUGCUUGGUGGUGCAUUACAUGGUUGAUUACCGUGUCAUUGCCACCGCCAAUGAUCCUCUGUAUGGUGCGUGUUGGCGACGGCGGCUUUGGAGGUCCUUGAGAUGGAUAUCAUCCUCUGGAGAAGUUGGCCCUCCAUGUAUGCUUUCAAGCACCCCCUGUUCAACAUCCUAACUACUUCCUGCUGCAGACCUAUGAAAUCUUCGGUCUUGUGUCCUCUCUUUUGAUUGAAUUCAUAGAGGACGUUCAACCUCCUGGUGCUUGGGUCCGACUUCAUUUUUUGUGGCCACUUCACCUUCGUAUCCAGCUUCUCCAAUGUGUACACUAUCUCUGAAAGGGAUCAAACUCAAAAGUUAUGAGCAGAUAACAGUGGCGGCAUACCGCUUUCGUUUUGAAGGGGUGCAGUGUGUCGUAGCACGGCAUCCAGAUGUCUUGGAGGGGGAGGGUUAGAUGUUCAGACAUAGGUUUGAUGCCUUUAUCGACUGAAACAUGGGGUUUAUCCCUUCGCCCAUCGUUACGUCUAUCUCUCCUUUCAUCGGCCUGAACUGACGUUAAUAAUUGAAUCGGUCCAUUCAGAUUGUCCUAAUCUGCCCUUACCUCGAUGCAAUAGGCGUUGUGGAUCUCUUCCUAUAUGGUAGGGGGUACUUCAUGAGUCUGCUAAGCAGUUUUUUGGUUGCCUUUGAUCCGUUCCUGUUUAUCCCAUUUUGAAAGGCUGCUACUGCCAUCCCUUCUGACACGUUUGGCAGGCUCAUUUACUCGAUUGAAUCGGUCCAGGAAGUCCCGAAGUCCCUCGAUUUCCGUUUGCCUGACGACGAAGAUAUCAUUGACCCUAGCUUCAGCCUUCUUCACCCCUGCAUGAACGAUGGAGAAUUUAUCCACCAUCUCUUCGAAUAUUGAUAUUUAUCGUGCUGGAAGCUGGGAAUACCACGUCAUUACUCCCCCUGUCAAAGUCUCACCAAAAUUCUUUAGCAGCACAAAUGGUACCUGUUACUUUGACAGACUACUACCCUUUACUGCAGAAACAUAAUGGAUUAGAUGAUCCUCCGGGUUCGUAGUCUGAUCGCUUCCAACUCCGCACUACUAAUAAGUAGCAAAAGAGGGCCGCAAUAGCUUUUACCCAUUUUUGGAUCGGGAUCAAUAUCCACAGAGAGAUAGAAUUGAAUUCGAGUAUCUAUUUAGUUUAGGAUUAAGUAUAUGUUCCAAAUUACACUUCUCAUCAUUUUUGGAGUUUUCUUUAUAAUUCUACUUGUAUCAAACUACAAAUUAUAAAUUAAGCUAAGAGUUAAAUGAUGCGGGUUGUUCAAAUAGUUUAAGUGUACUAGGGUAGUGACAUUCGCCUAUGUGGUCAAUUGACGGGUACUUGAAACUAAGGCAUAAUUGACAUGAUUGGGGAGUAUGAUAGAACUAUUGCACCACUUUACAGAACUAUUGCACUACUUUACCCACUCUACACCUCUCGGUGGUUCAAGUGAUUUUGCCCAAUUGACUUUCUCAAGACCAAUUGAGUAUCCAAAUUUGCACAAGCAACUAGGGUUCAAGUUUGUUAUUACUCCCUCGAGGUUUAACCCUAUAAUUGAGACUAUUAAUCUCUUGAGUACGAGUAUAAAAAUUUACUCAAGCAACUAGGGUUCAAGUCGGGUAUUACUCUCUCGAGACAUAACCCUUUAAUUGGGGCUAUCAAUCUCUUGAGUACGCUCCCUUGUUGGAUCAAUUUCGGAGACUUAGGCUCUCUUUCUCAAGCAAAACCCUAGUGAACUAAACACAAACUAGUAUUUGCAACUACCAAUUCAGCUAUUAACCAUGAAAUUGACCCAAAUAUCAAACACUCAUAGUCAAUUUAGCUCUAAAAUACAAGACCCAUCAAUUACCCACACUAGUAUUUAGCCACAACCCUAGCAAAUGGGUCUAGCUACUUAUAUUUAAAGAAGAAAAAUAAGAAAUAGAUGAAGAUAAAUACAUAUUAAUUAAUUGCUAAGUUAAAUAGAAAGAUUCAUUGAUGAUAUGUAGUUAAAGUUUCCCAAAAUGGAUAAGAAUACUCGACCCACGAGAACAGCUAUGCUAUUACAAUAUCUGAUACCCUAAAAAUGGAAAAGGAAUCUAUUUAUGCAAAGCUAAAAAAUUUGGACAAAAUACCCCUGCGGGUUAGUGCGGAUCGCACAAAAUGGCGUGCAGCUGCACUAGGGCUCUGACCUUGAAUAUCUGGCUCUCUGAACUCGGGCUCCACCGACCACACAGAAUAGACUGCAACCGCAGAGGCUUCUAAUGCGGUCCGCAGUAUGGACUGUUGAAAGCUUUGCCCUUGGUUCCUAUUGUUCUACCCACCUUGAUUGUUCCUGCUGCCCCAAUUAUUAUUAUUGCCAUUCCAAUUCCCUUGGUUUCCUUGAUUGUUUUUCUGAUUUCCCCAGUUGUUGUUUUGAUUGUUAUUCCCCCAAUUACCACUAUUUUGUCGUUGAUUUCCCUAAUUGCGUUGAGGUCUCCACUAUUGUUGGUUUGAAGAUUUUUCCUGAUGACCUUGAUAGUUAUUUACAUAUUGAACCUCUUCACUUUGUUCAUCAUAGCCAUCAUAUUGAAACACAUCACAAUCAUCAUCAAAUUGCUCAGAAUUCCCUUGAUUUUGUUGCCUAGUUUGCCUUCUCUUGUUGACAAGCAUAUUAACACCUUCCAUGGCUUUAACUUGUCAAGGAUUCUGAACUUGGUGCAAUUGCGCCUUAGCCAAUUGGUUCAUAGUAGUAGUAAGCUCACCUAUAGAUUUCCCGUGAUCAUGUAAGUCCUUGUGCAAAUUAGUGACCAUGGAAUCACCUUGAGGCACAUUUGCUCUACUCUGCCAUGCUGAAGAAGUGUCCACCAUCUCAUCAAGUAUAUCACAUGCCUCAUCAUAUGACAGCUUUAUAAAAUUUCCCCCGUCCAAUUGGUUCACUAUGCAUUUAUUUGUUGUAUUCAUGCCCUGGUAGAAGGUUUGUUGGAUCAUAGCCUCGGUCAUGUCAGUAUUGGGGCAUUCCUUCACCAUUGUCCUAUACCGCUCCCAAAUCUCAUGCAAAGGUUCUGUAGGCUCUUGCUAGAAGGUCAGUAUCUCAUCUCAAAGUGCCAUCAUAUGCCCGAGUGAGAAAAAUUUAGCGAUAGACUUAUCCGCCAACUCAUCCCAAGUUGUGAUGGAAUGGUUGGGAAGUCGUUCUAGCCAAUCCAAUAUGUAUCCACGAACCCCUUGAGAUGUUUGUACACAUUUUGUUUUGUAGCGCCUGUGAAAUACCCACGCUGCUCAAGUAAGGUCAACAUCACAUUGGUUAUCUGAAAAUUUCCUGCCCGGAUUUGGGGUGGGGCAAUAGCACUUGCAUAGCCUUGGUUUGGGAGCACUCUGGGAGCCACUCUUGGAGGUGGCAGAGGAGGGUCUAGAAUAUUGUUGUUUUCAUUUGCAUUGGCCUGACGGACUCUACUUUGACCUUGAGGUACAAGAGGCACCUCAUCAUCUCUAACAUCAUCUACCUCCUCCCCCUCUAUCACUUUUCCAAGAGGGUUAUUAGCGUUGUUCGCUGCCAUUUUAGUACCUGAGUAGUGACAUAAAAAUAUUAGAAACAAAGAAGGAAAGAAGAACAAUACACAAAACGAACUAAAUAGAUAGCCAAAAUCGUUAGCUCCAUGGAAACAGUUCCAAGAAGUGAUCGCUUCCAACUCCGCACUAGUAAUGAGUAGCAAGAGAGGGUUGCAAUAGCUUUUACCCGAUUUUGGGUCGGGAUUGAUAUCCACAGAGAGUUUGAAUUCGAGUCGAGUAUCAAUUUAGUUUAGGAUUGCGUAUAUGUUCCAAAUUACACUUCUCAUUAUUUUUGGAGUUUUUUUAUAAUUCUACUUGUAUCAAACUACAAAUUAUAAAUUAAGCUAAGAGUUAAAUGCUAAGGGUUGCUCAAAUAGUUUAAAGGGAACUAGGGUAGUGGAAUUCGCCUAGGUGGCCAAUUGACGGGUACUUAAGACAAAGGCACAAUUGACAUGAUUGGGGAGUAUGAUAUAACCGUUGCACUACUUUACCUACUUUAUACCUCUCGGUGGUUCAAGUGAUUUUGCCCAAUUGACUUUCUGAAGACCAAUUGGGUAUGCAAAGUUGCUCAAGCAACUAGGGUUGGGUAUCACUCUCUCUAGGUUUAGCCCUUUAAUUGGGGCUAUCAAUCUCUUGAGUAUGCUCCAAUUCCUUGUUGGAUCAAUUUCGGAGACUUAGGCUCUCUUUCUCAAGUAGAGCCUUAGUCAACUAAAUACAAACUAGUGUUUGCAACCACUAAUUCAGUAAUUAAUCAUGAAAUUAACCCAAAUAUCAAACACCCAUAGCCAAAUUAGCCCUAAAAUUUAAGUCCCAACAAUUACCCACACUAGGGUUGAGCCACAACCCUGGGGGUCUAGCUACUCAUAUUCAAAGAAGAAAAACAAGAAAUAGAUGAAGAUAAACACAUAUUAGUUAUUUCCUAAGUUAAAUACAAAGAUUUAAUGAUGAAAUGUAGUUAAAGUUGCCCUAAAUGUCUAAGAAUAGUAGACCCACGAGCGCAACUACGUUAUUACAAUAUCUGAUACCCUAAAAAUGGAAAAAGAAUAUAUUUAUACUAAGCUAAAAAAUUUGAACAAAAAUUCCCUUACGGGGUUUGUGCGGAUCGCACAAAAUGGUGUGCGGCCCGCACAAAAUGGUGUGCGGCCGCACUAGGGGUCCGAACUUGAAGAUCUAGCUCUCUGAACUCGGGCUCCGCGGACCAUACAGAAUAGUUUGUGCCCGUAGAGGCUUCUAGUGCGCUCCGCAGAGCAUGGACUGCAGACCGCAUUGACUUGAAAGCUCUAACUUGGCACUCCUCUAAAUCUCUGCUCUGCGGACCACACAAAAUGGUUUUGUGGUUGUAUUACCUUCAGUGCGGACCGCACAAAACCUAGUGCGGCCAGACUGCCUCUUAGCUUGGAAAUCCUGCUCUCUAUAUCUCCUAGUGCGGACCACACAGAAUAUAGUGCGGCGGCACUGGCCUUGUUUUGCAUGAGCUUUAUCUUUUCUUGGUACUUAUUCAAGUUUCACUCUUUUUGAGUUGAUAUUUGAUAUUUUGUUAUUUUGUUGAUCAAACCUGCAAUCAAGCACAACUUGUAAUCCUUUCAGGACUAUUUUGUAUAAAUUUCUAAUCAAAGCAUAAGCAAGAAGGAGUAUGAAAUGUAUCAAAAUCCCAGUUAUCAUGUCCCCUCGUAUAUUUUCAAGUAUGGCGGCAUCUUGAAGGUUUUUGGAAUUGGAUGAGGAGCAGCCCAAUCGCUGUACGGUUGUUCGUCGAAUCGGCCUAUAUCGCAUUUUGGUGAUAGCUUAAGGGCGCCUGGUAUUUUGUCAACCCUUUUAUGAUGCUCCUUCAUUUUAUCACAUAGCGUUUUGUUCUCGUUUUCCAUAUCUUUCAUUUUCUUUAGUAUGUCCAUGAGUGCAUUGUCACCUUUAUCAGUGACAGAACGGGUGUUGCCCGUUCGUGUGGUGCUUGGCUCGGUGGUGGUAACUACUAUAUCUGUAGGUGGUAGGUUUCCGACAUUUCCUUGAGAGGUUUUUUUGAGCAUGUUGCUCAGAGCACUUGUCAACCAUUCUUCUAGCAGCUUUUUUACUAUUGGUGGUGGUUCCCUCACUGUGGACGUUGAAGCUCCCCUUUCACGCAAGACCGUUAGAUCCCCGUGUGGAGAAGGUGAGAGCUCCCCCUCCGGUGUAACUUUUGGUAUGGUAUUCUCAGUGUCUUCUCUACCAGCUUCAUUGAGGGAGUUCACGAGAUUGUUUAAGACAUCUGCUAUCAUCUUCAGCCUCGCUUCCUUUUCCGCCAUCAUUGGUUUUAUGAGGUUUGAAAAAUAGUAAUCGUCACUUUCAAGAACCUACAUGAGAACUGUGAUUUCAGUUGUGGAAAUCCCCACAGACGGUGCCAAAUUAUUUGACUUAAAAGAUAUUAAAAUAUUUUUGAAUAAAUUAAUCAAUGAUGAAGGGGUAAAUCGUAGCUGAAGAUAAUAAACCCUCGGAUGAUAAUAAUAGAUAAAAGAGGAUUGUAAAUAUGCUUUUUCAUUCAAGGUUGGUGAAUUUUUCAGUAUCUCCCUCCUUUAUAAGGCUCCCAUUCCUCUUAUAUAUUGAGGAAUUCCCUCCCNNNNNNNNNNNNNNNNNNNNNNNNNNNNNNNNNNNNNNNNNNNNNNNNNNNNNNNNNNNNNNNNNNNNNNNNNNNNNNNNNNNNNNNNNNNNNNNNNNNNNNNNNNNNNNNNNNNNNNNNNNNNNNNNNNNNNNNNNNNNNNNNNNNNNNNNNNNNNNNNNNNNNNNNNNNNNNNNNNNNNNNNNNNNNNNNNNNNNNNNNNNNNNNNNNNNNNNNNNNNNNNNNNNNNNNNNNNNNNNNNNNNNNNNNNNNNNNNNNNNNNNNNNNNNNNNNNNNNNNNNNNNNNNNNNNNNNNNNNNNNNNNNNNNNNNNNNNNNNNNNNNNNNNNNNNNNNNNNNNNNNNNNNNNNNNNNNNNNNNNNNNNNNNNNNNNNNNNNNNNNNNNNNNNNNNNNNNNNNNNNNNNNNNNNNNNNNNNCAUAGAAACAAUAUGUAAAAGAUCCUUUUUAGGAAUAUUCUCAAUGUCCCUAAUAUGCUUACUCUACCACCGAGGUCGUAUUAUUCUUUCUAUUACUACAAGGUCUUAACCUUUCUAGGCAUCAACUCGUAGGUGCUCGGCCGUCUGUCGUGCUCACUGCAGAUCGUAGUCGGUCAAAUUCAGACCCAUACAAUUACUACAAGGACAAUCUAGUUCAUGGGUAGAUUUGGCCACAAUGAUUAAUGGACAACAAAUCUAAACUAUUCACAUAUUUUGGGUUUAAAUUUAACAUGUGGGGAUAUCAAUUCUCUAAUAAAAAAUUUGGGUGAAGUUUGAUAUGAAAUUGAAAAUGUGUUUGAACAUGAAUUUUGGGGCAAGUUUGACAUGUUAAAAAGUCUUUUAUUUUUUUAAAAGACUUUUCAGAAAUCACUAUUGUUUAGUGGCUAUUAUCUUCGUAUAGCUAUAUAUAUAUAUAUAUAUAUAUAUAUAUAUAUAUAAAACUACUAUUCAGUUGUUACGGUAGUGUAUUCGUUGUAUUCGUGUUCUUGUUUUCAUGAAUACAACAGUAAAAAGCGCCUAAAAAUUAGGGUAGUCCAGCUGACGCGCAUGUAUUCACAUAUAUUCGCGCCAUGUAUUCAUGAAUAUAUCAGCAAAAAGUUCAUAAAAUCAGGGCAGUCCAGUUGUAUGAGCAUGUAUUCGUGUUGUUGUAUUCAUGAAUAUAGCAGUUAAAAGCGCCUAACUUUAUGGCAGUUCAGUUGUACGUGCAUGUAUUCACAUGUAUACGCGCCAUGUAUUUAUGAAUACAACAACAAAAAACGCCUAAAAUCAGGAAGUUUAGCUGUACGCACAUGUAUUCAUGAUGUUGUAUUAAUGAAUACAACUGCAAAAAAUACCUAAAAUCAGGGCAGUCCAGUUGUACGCACAUAUAUUCACAUGUAUUCGCGCCAUGUAUUCAUGAAUACAAUAAUCGCAAUCACCUUAGAAAUAAAUAUGUACAUCUAUCUAAGAGAGAGGAAAAACAUAAACAGGGUAUUUCGUGCCGUAUUUCAUGCCUCAAUGGUAGUAUAUAGGCGAAAUAUAUAAAUGGCCCCUCCAAGGUGUCCUCAACGGUCAGCCAGACACCUCAACUGACGUAUUUAUCAAGUAAACACCUCAGAUUAUUUUUAGUGCCUCACUUAAACCCUUCAGAGUGACAUGUCAAAAUGUGUGUUAUACACUAGGGGUGUUCAUCGGGCGGAUUGGGCGGCUUUUUACUCUUAACGGUUUGGCUUAACGGNNNNNNNNNNNNNNNNNNNNNNNNNNNNNNNNNNNNNNNNNNNNNNNNNNNNNNNNNNNNNNNNNNNNNNNNNNNNNNNNNNNNNNNNNNNNNNNNNNNNNNNNNNNNNNNNNNNNNNNNNNNNNNNNNNNNNNNNNNNNNNNNNNNNNNNNNUCGGACGGUUACCGGGCGGUUUAUCGGUUUAAUACCUAUGGGGUUAUCGAAAAGCUUAUACAGAUUCGGAGUACGUGUGUCUGUUAUUGGACAUAGACAUAGACUUCCCAUAAUUUUACGGAAAGAACUAAAGGAAGCCAUACUUUCCUUUCUACAAAGACACAGACGUUUUGGUGAACAUACAUAUUGAAACAUUACUUUCCCUCGUAUCUCUUCUCUUCUUAUUCAUAUGUUUGGUAAAGAAAUUUUGGAAGAGCUGCAUAAACAAAUCAAAACACUCAUGCUUCAAUUCAUUUAUUUGGCUGACAAAUUUUUAAAGGACGCAGACCAUUGACAGUAGCGGCAGUUUAACACGUUCUCUAGAGUAACACCAUAAAUUAACACAAUUUUAUUUUUGUUUGAAACAAACGCCAGAAAGUUUGUGUCGAAUCAGGAUGCUUUUUCUCUACUUCGAAAUUUCAUUGACGUGUGAUUUCACCUGCUAAUGUGUUUGUGCUUUGGGGGAACUAAGAGGUUGCUUUCACCUGCUAAUGUGUUUGUGCUGUGGGGGAACUAAGAGCUCUCUUCAAGCGACACAAAUUCCAAUAUAUUAAAAGCUAGUUAGAUUUUGAAGCUACUCGACAAGCAAAAGGUUUUGAACGUACAUAUGGAUAUUUAAGAGAGCUUUUGAGGGGAAGCAAAAAUCAAAGAAUCACUGUAAAGUAUAUAUGGCUUCAUAGUGUUACUUUUUCUUUGUGCAGUCACAAAGUUCGAGCAAGUCUAGACAUCUUUUGUAUACUCUAUACCUGUAGAAGAAAGGAAAACUUGUUCCUCUUUGAAGUAGAGGGAAAUAGAGAAUUCUAUCGAAGAGACUAAUGGAGUCCAUGUGCCAAACAAUGAACACUAAACAGGUUGCAGGAAUUCUUCUAAAGCACGUCAGAGGAACCUUGUUUGAAGGUAAUCUGCCCCGAAAAAAUUGGGAGUUCAUCUGCAUGAGAGAUGUUCCAAAAUCAACAUGCUGCCGCUGUAAAUAUAAAUUUUAUAUUUUUAAGGUUUUUAGUUUUUUAUAUUUAAUAUAUAUUAUUAUAUAAGUAAAAAUAAAAUUUAUAUAUAUAUAUAUAUAUAUUCUUAACGGGUUAACGGAUUAUCCGUUAAAAAAAUUGAAUAAUCCGCUCCCAAACUGAUAAGUCGUUAAUAAAAAAAUUUAACUUGUUUCCCAUACGUUAAACCGUUAACACGACCAGUAAACUAUUAAACUUUAAUUUUAAUGUAGUUUUUGAUUUUGGUUUGAUUUUAAUCACCCUUACUGUUCUCCUUAUACAUCCAUGCAGUGCAAAGAGUCCUACGGGACGUCAAAAUGUGACUCCUAUUCUAAGAUUUUGACGGUUCGGUUCGAUUUUCGGUUUCGGAUCAGUUUUGAACACCCCUAUUAUACACUCGCCUGGCAGCAAGUGAAGCCUUUCAAAAUUAUAUUUAUUUCUUUUUUUUUAAUUUAACUUGUGGAGCCCCCUGUUCCUCACUCUUUUUUUUCCAAAAUUUUCUUCUGAAUAUGCUAUUCAGUGCACCUUAACCCACCAUUAUCAACACCAACCAUGAUAGUGAAUGUGCAAAAAGGUAGAAGCCAUUGAAAACCCCGACGCGUAGAAGCCAUUGAAAACAGUAGAAGCUAUUCACUACAAAAGUUAUUUUCACCCAUUCUCUUCAGCUGCAAUCCCAAGAGGCAAAAAUUGAACAAGGUUUUGCCAAAAAAUUAGGGGACACAAAUUAAGGUUACGGGAGAUAAGUUAAUGUCUUUGGUGAAAGGCAGUAGGUUAAGUUCUGAUAACAUUUCAAGUGUUGAUGUGGUUUUAUGCAUACCAUCAUUAUGACCAAAGACUCGUCCAAGGAUGUUAAGUUGAAAUGAAUUAAGAUGAUGACUUCUUUGAAAUUCUUCAGCUUAUAUCUGUUGAAAAAUUUAUUUUUUGACAUCUCUCUAAAACCCGACCCAAAAACAAAAACAACAAACCCUAGAAAUUCAAAAUUUUGCAGCAACAUGAACAAUAAACAAGAACUGGUUCAUGAUUGUUGACGACGGUCAUGAUUGUUGCCGGCGUCCAUGGCUAUUACCGGUCUCAGUGGCUGUUUGGAAAUGGAUGAAGGCACUUCGAGGAGGAAAGAGUCGUUUGGACAGAAGCAGCGGUGCCUUGGAGAGGUGAUUGGACGAUUGGAAUUCUUAGGGGGAUUAGGGUCUUCUUUUGGUUGAAGAAGAAGGGGCAGCUAGGAGGGGUCUCUAGGGUUUAUUUAUUAUUAUUAUUACUUUUUUUGGUUUUAUAAUAGGUGGCAAAUUUUUUAAUCAGAAUUACACAUGACGUUUUCUCAUUUUCAUUUGAUAUGAAUCUGAGAGUGUAUUUCACGCGAGUGGGCUGAUGAGGUCGGGUGUUUAAUUGACCAGCUUUAUUGAAGGCUUGAAGUGUCCAACUGAAAAUGAGGUCAUUUGAGGUGUCUGGCCGACCUUUGAGGACAACUUGAAGGGGUUAUUUAUGUACUUCGCCUAGUAUAUACCAUAAAUACUUAUUUUGCUAUAAAAUAUAAAAGGUAGCUAUAGAAAAUAAUAUUUUAAAAUAAUUUUAAUUUAUAAUAAAUAUGGUAUAUACUUUUGCUAUAAAAGGUAAAAUUUUAUUUUUUAAGCUAAAAAGUCCCAAAAGGUCAUCAUUUAGCCCAAAAAUAGGUCUUAACCUAUAUUUGAGAUUUGAAGUUUUAAUUUUCAACAUCUCACAAAAAUUAAAUUAAUUCUAUAAACUAACAUAUAUAUGAAAAAGAUUCCAAAACUUAGGGCCAAACGCCUAUUAAAUCAUGGGGGAGAGGUGGUGGGUUUUGGUUUGAGACUUGACCUUUGAAAUGGUAACAUAAAACUAAAACUAAAACGGUGUAAUAAUAAUAAAUGUCACGGAGCCUAACUUUUGGAUUGAUUCUAGUUAAAGUAAAUGCUCCAUGUCCAGCAAUUGAUUGUAUUCCAUAAAAACCAAGAACGGCAAAGUAAACUUUUUCUUCAAUUCAGUUUAUCAGUUACUUGAUAGGAAAAUCUGAGCAGAUCUCAUUAGUUUUGCUAGUUAAUGACACGGUCUGUUAUAAGCGAUGGAGCCCACAUCUCUCUGUACCACAUCGCUAAUUGAAGUUCGUAACUAAACAUUUAAAACGCUGCCUACUGCUAUAUUGGGCACGACCUUACUUGAACAGGAUCUGUUCUAUAGGCUCGUACCACUGUAUCCUUGAGUUCCAAGGAGACAGAAAAUCAAGUCUGGUUGAUGAAGUGUGGCCAGGAGACUAGAGCGUGAUUAACGGCUUUGGUGGCCUCUUGGCUCUCUGACAGACUUAUAAUCUUUUUCGUUUUUGCUUUCACAAUUUACAAUUCAUCUCCGGCACCUAGCAAGUAAUAAACUCUUCAGGUUGUUUUAUAUUUUAUUUUAUCAUAUAGGGUUACACUCAAAUGCAAGAUGUGUUACUAGAUAGAAUAUCCCUUGGAACAUUCAGUAACUGGAAACUGAAACCAACUUGAUUGUCAAGGCCAAAGACUUUAUUUAGUGCAUCUGUAGACAAUGUGUUCGACCAAUGUUCACAAAGACUAUUAGAGAGUGAAAUUUAACGGUGAAAGCUGAAAGAUGGCUUUUGUUCUUGCCCUCUGCUUUGGAAAGUCUGAGAAUAUUUAUGGCAAGCUGUAGCUAUGGACUCUUUCAUUGUCUCAGGCCCACAAACGAAUACACCGAUAUUGGAUCCCUUGGAUUCAUUAGCAAACUGGGAAAAUAUAUCUGUUCAAUUUUCGACAUGUUAGAACGCCAAUAGAUAGGAAGUUAAAAGUUAAAACAAGGACAGAGAAUUUUUUUUUGGGACAUACCUUUAAAGUUUGGCCUUGCUCCAAAAUGGAUUUCAUGUUGAUCAAAACCUCUGUUUGCUUCUGUUGGUUUCACUGGUUUUCUUUCUGUUUCAGAAAAUGGUUCACUUAGCGUCUUCCAUCUCCAUAAGGUAGCCACUAAGGUGCUAGAUAUUAGUGCUAAUGCAAAUGAGCAUAUGAGAAGAACGUCCACUAUUGGGGAGGCAGUUCUGUUCAUAUGACUUCUUAUUAGGCCUGAUAAUAAUAUGGUUGAAGAUGCUAAGGAAUGCUAGAAAAAUGAUAGAUGCCAACAGGAGGAGGAAGGCCAUCGAUCGCAAGUUCUCAAGUCCAUAUACUGCAUAACCAGAACGCUUGUUGGCGAGAUGAAUGGUUUGUAUUUUAGAUACCUCAUCUAGCACUUCACGUAGGGAUCUAUUGGAUUGGUGUUCCCGUGUGACAAACACUUUCUGUUGUAGAUAACUUUGUUCUGCAUCAAAAACCUGCUGUAGAACUGGAUCUAACAAGCAGAUGCUUUGGGAAUCUUUAUGGUGUAGAGAAGCUGUACUUUUACAGGUAAUACAUUUUUGUUGCUUCUUGCUGAGGCAACUUCUUGCAGAAUGCUGAAGAAUGGUGUAACACCAAUUCCACCUGCAACUAGAAGUAGACUAUCAUAUCUGCAGAAGAUUCAACAAAUAAUUAUAUAUGGGAAAAUAUGAAAUAACAUCGUUUCCUUUACCUUAGAAAGUCCAUUGAUGAAGGUCAAUGAAAUAAUGGCUUUCUGUUGCUACGUGAAAAAACCUCAUUCCAUCAGCUUCUGCAUCAGUCUUUGAAUGUAGCAUAUUAUAGAGAGUGCUGGUCCACUGUCCCUCAGCUUUGAUCAAAAUAGAGAUAGUGUCUUUAUCAACUUUGGAGCUAGAAGUUAUGCUAAAGGGAUGCCAUUGAAACUUUGAAAUCCUCGGGAUCUUGACAUAAACCACACUUGUUGGUGUAUACUUUGCCAGUCCACCGUCCUUCAGCUUUGAUCAAAAUAGAGAUAGUGUCUUUAUCAACUUUGAGCUAGAAGUUAUGCUAAAGGGGUGCCAUUGAAAAUUUGAAAUCCUCGGGAUCUUGACAUAAAUCACGCUUGUUGGUGUAUACUUCAACCCUGAAAUAGUGUGUUACGUUGGUUGAUUAUUUAGGCCCAGUCAUGAAUUAAGAAAGCAUAUUCGCAUUUAAAUUGGAGAGAGAUUACUGAUUUAGUACUUGGAUCUUUUGGCAGAGUCAACUCUAUGGCUUUGGAAGGGAAGAUUCGAGCAGAAAGAAUAUAUGUUUCUGGCCUUGAUUGAAUUAUUCGGAGUAUCUUGUCAAGGCAAAACAAAAAAAAUGCCAGGGAAAACCAUGUAAAAGUGGCGAUCUCCAGCGUGAAGCAGGAAAAUAGUAUGAAUACUAUGUACAAAUGUUGUGUAUAAUAGAAGAUCUCGAAUCGUUUCCUUCUGAUCUGUGGAAGUGAAGUGAUCCAGAUAACCAAUCCUGUAACAAGACUGAUCUACCCAGCAAGGUAAAUACGCCCUACCUUUUGCCAUUUCCACAUCUAUAAUUUUCCCCAAAAAAGGACUUAGUAACAAAGCAUAUAUACAUUUGUUCAAACUAAAUUGAAAAAGAAAGCAAUGUUCAAAUGAUGACACGAGGUUACCUCAUCUCCAAUGUGAUGUUUCAUACCCCAGAUUAGAAAAGUACCUCCACCAUGUAAAGUGGAAAAUAAUAUCAUUGUUGUCCCAAGCCAAAUGUGGUAUCUCACGGAAGCUUCAAAUUGGAUGCCAAGUAAUCGAAAUAUUGACAUCCCCAUUAAGAUGGGAAGAAGAAGAAGCGCCAGGCAGGCUUCUGCUAAUAAACCACACCCCGUUGCCACUCUAAAGAUUCUGUAUUGCCAUCUGGAAAUGGCCGAGUUGGAAUAUGCUAUCAGAGAGUACUCUGAUACUUGUGUUGAAAAUGAUACUAUAAUAUUUGCAUGGGAAUAUAGGAAUAUACUUACACGUCCAAAGUGAAUGAUUUAAUCGGUAUCUUCUUGAAGUCACUGGAGAUUCGAGCAUAGAAUGUCCAUGCUAGAAAGAUGACAAAUAGAGAUACAACAAGGAUUUCAAACCCAGACAGAGUUCCUAAAUACCUACUCACAACUAGUGGAUUGGAGAGAAUAGAUAGUGAAGAUCUUCCUUUCCUGUCAGCCAAAUUCAGCACAUGUUUGCAUGAAACUGCCUAUAUUAAACAUUAAUAUGCUUAAAUAUAUACUGCAGGUAAAAAGCAUACCUGCUGGUUGGUUCCUUUUGUUUCAGUUCCAAGUACAUGAAACCUAUAGCUAUAGCAAUAACAGGGAAGGUGUACACAGCAAAAUUAAGACCUGCAGGACCUCAAAAUGAUAAAAAAAACAUUCACUAUUUUGGAGAGGAUUAACAUUGAACAGGACAUUAGAUUAACAUUUCUUGUACAUGUAAAUGGUGAGUUUGAAGUUAAAACCUAUACAUCUAAAUUAAUUUGUGUUAGGAACUCAGAACCUCACCAGCUUGGGUUAAGAAUGAGGUAGAUGCCUUUGCUUCUGCAAUUUUCCAACUUUUAGUCCAUAGUUGCGUGGGCUUAAGAAGCCAAAGUGAUACCCAUCCAGCAAAUAUCAAGAGAAGUAGCAAUUUAAGGAGGAAAGAGAGAAUUUUAGUCAUCUUUUAAGAAGUGCUGACUCUAUACAUGGAAUGUAACGAGUUUCUAUAUAUAUACUCUGGUUAAUUAUUCUGAACACCCUUCUAAUAUGAGUCAAAUGCAAAAUACAUCCGUUGUAUUUCAAGAUCAUACACUUAACCCCCUUGUACAAUAGAACUCCUACACAAAUAUUAGCUUGAAAAAUAUUUCUGCUUUACAAACUGUUUAAGUGUUACCCUAUAUUAACAGUGGCAGCUGUUGCUCCCAGAAAAUAUUGUGCGCUCUGCACCAUCCAUCAAUUUUGGAAUCAAUUCUCAUAUAAUAACAAGUUAGACCUGUUUUAAGUGAGAUUGAUGGUGAUGGAUAAUGAUGCCAUCAACUUAUGACAUUUGUGAUGGCUUUCAAAAUGGGAAUACAUCUUCUUCUUCUUUGCUUGCUGAGUGGAUGCUAUUAUCAGCAUAUCUAUUCAUUACAAUUUGCAGUAGUGGAUACAUGGUCCACUCGACUAAUGCUACAGACUAUGUUGUCUGACCUUUGUCCGCAUGUAGAUAGAAAAUAGAUCCAAAAAGAUAGCCCUCUACUCUAACUGGUUGACUAUAAUUUGUUCAUCCAGGGAACCAGACCCAUUACAUUAAGUGAGGAACUGAUAGAGCUCUUGUUAACAAGACAGCACAGUGAAUUACAGAUUUUUUAUUCUAGUUGCGCUAGCAUAAAUAUUUUUUGAGAUGGUCCUACAAUGUGGUUGGUAAUCAGAUUACUACAAAAACUAUGAGUUGCCAAACCAAACAAUUAUAUCGGAUUAUUAAAUCUAAAGACCAAACCAAACCAAUAAAACUCGGAUUUUUCACUCUAGGUUUUUUCCGUGUUUUCUCGGAUUUUCGGAUUAUUCGAGUUUUUUAGGAUUUUUUUCCCGGUAAAAUCUUCUUAGAACAAAACAUAUAAAUUAUGCUCAAAAUAUUUCUUUAGUCCUAGUAAGGUACAACUAUAUAAAGUAUUUUCCAAAAAAAUAAUACGAAAUAUGAAAUAUGUCAUGACAUUAUCCUAAAAUAUUCAACAAUAAAGACAAUAAAAUUAUGUAAUAUAAAUAUUGCUAAUUAAAAAGCCAUAAUAAAAAUAAAUAUAAUCUAAGAGUAAUAAGUCAUGCUAAAAUAAGUAGACUAAUAAGGCAUUAUUAAAUACAUGACUAAAUGCUAAAGAAAAGAUAAAAAUAUGUUAUGCUUUUUAUCUAAAUUAUUGUAAAAUAGAAAAUAGAUAUUCAAUACAUUCUCGUUCGAAGUAUUGAAUUAAAUAUCUUUUAUUAGAAUUAGUAUUGAUUUGAUUUUGGUUUGGGUUUUUGUUAGCACUAUUUAAUUUGCUAAUGUUAGUGGCUAUAAAAUUUAUUGAGACAUUCAAAAGUUAUAACUCCAACUUUAAAAUAAUACCUCAAAAGUAAAAUUAUAAAAUCUUUUAAAAAAUAUUUAUAAAUUACAUCACAGUAAAAUUAUAAAAUCUUUUAAGAAAGAUUUAUAAAUUACAUCACAAUAAUUAUAUUUACAUAUUGAAUAUAUCUAAAGUUUAUAUAUAUAAUGUCGGGUUGGUUUGGUUUCAUGUUUGACUUUCUUUAGUUAAACCAAACCAAACCAAUUAUGGUCGGGUGUUUUUUUUUUCUACACCAAACCAAAUCAAACCAACCCAUAAUCGAAUUUUUUUCUCGGUUUGACUCGAAUUAUCGGGCUGGUGCGAUUUGUCGGUCUUCUUUAUACACAUGAGUGUACUAAUAUGAGCUCGGUUUAGAUUAUUAUAAAAAUCUUAGAGUGUGACAUUCGCACCAAAAUACGUCUCCCUGCAUAUCUAAAACUGCUACAACAGAAAGCUUAAGUGGAAACUUAGAUUAAUAAUAGCAUUUGGAAACAGAUGAACAAUAGCUACUGAGCAUAUGCCAGGUGGUUGAUGAAACACAGCAUUUGGAAAUGUGUGAUUACUUUUGUUAUAUAGUUUUCUUGGUGCUAUUUAGUAAUGAAAUUUAAAUUUUUACCUGAUCGAAGGAAAAAAAAAGAGUCUAAUUUUAUUAAUUUGCUAAUUCAACCUCUAGUAUCAGCUAUAUUAUCUGAUGUUUUUGUAUUAUUUCAUCAAUACUGGUUGAUGCCAAAUCAAGCAUAGACAUGAAUUAAGCUUAGAGGCUAAAGCCCCUCCGAAUAAUUUCAGUAGUACUGGUUAUCACAAGAUAUUGACGAUUUUAAACUGUCUACUCGUUAGAGGUAUGGAGACAGACUCUCGAGUCUAAAGGUUUCAAAAUAAGCAGAUCUAAGACAGNNNNNNNNNNNNNNNNNNNNNNNNNNNNNNNNNNNNNNNNNNNNNNNNNNNNNNNNNNNNNNNNNNNNNNNNNNNNNNNNNNNNNNNNNNNNNNNNNNNNNNNNNNNNNNNNNNNNNNNNNNNNNNNNNNNNNNNNNNNNNNNNNNNNNNNNNNNNNNNNNNNNNNNNNNNNNNNNNNNNNNNNNNNNNNNNNNNNNNNNNNNNNNNNNNNNNNNNNNNNNNNNNNNNNNNNNNNNNNNNNNNNNNGGAGGCUUGCAUCAGGAGUCCUGUGUGACAAGAAAAUUCCACAGAAACUCUAGGGGAAAUUUUAUAGAGCUGUGGUUAGACCUGCGAUGUUGUAUGAGGCGGAGUGCUGGCCCGUGAAGAACUCUCAUGUUUAGAGAAUGAAGGUUGCGGAGUUGAGGAUGCUCAGUUGGAUGUGCGGGCUCACCAGGUUAGAUAAGAUUAAGAGUGAAGUUAUUCGAGAGAAGGUGGGGGUGGCCUCGGUGGAUGAGAAGAUUCGAGAAGCGAGGAUGAGGUGGUUCGGGCAUGUGCGGAGGAGAAGUCCCGAUGCCCCGGUAAGGAGCUGCAAGUGGCUGGAGAUUGUUGGCAGUCGGCGAGGCAGAGGGAGGCCUAAAAAGUAUUGGGGAGAGGGGAUUAGGCAGGAGAUGGCGCUGCUUCAGCUCACCGAGGACAUGACCCUUGAUAGAAGAGUGUGGAGGUUGAAGAUUAAGGUAGAAGGUUAGUUGGUAGUUUAUAGUUGUUUACCGAUAGUUUUAGUAGUAUGUUCAUAUUCUUAGAUUUUUAUUAUGUUAUGUGGUUUUGUUCACCUCAGGUAUGAUAUUCCCUGUUGCUAUUAUUUAGUGUCACUUAUCAUUUAUCUUUUUUUUUCUUUUAUCUUUCAUCUUUCAAUGAGGCUUGGCAGGGCUAUCCAUAGAUGAUUUGUGUUUUGGCUUGUGUCUCACUUAUGGUUGUUAUUUAUGGUAGUUACUAUAUGAUUAUUGCAUGCUAUUUUAUUUAUGUUUCUUAUGUUUAGAUAAUUAUUUACGCUAUUUCUGCUNNNNNNNNNNNNNNNNNNNNNNNNNNNNNNNNNNNNNNNNNNNNNNNNNNNNNNNNNNNNNNNNNNNNNNNNNNNNNNNNNNNNNNNNNNNNNNNNNNNNNNNNNNNNNNNNNNNNNNNNNNNNNNNNNNNNNNNNNNNNNNNNNNNNNNNNNNNNNNNNNNNNNNNNNNNNNNNNNNNNNNNNNNUAGGAGUAAGGUCUGCGUACACUCUACCCUCCCCAGGCCUCACUUUGUGGGACUAUACUGGGUAGUUGUUGUUGCUGUAAACUGUCUACUCGUUACGACGUGACCAAAUUAAUAGUCCGAAUAACGAAUAUAUAAAAAAAAAUUGGAGUAUGAUUUUUAGUGGAUUUUCACAAGCCUAUGCUAUUAUAUUUUCCUGAAUCUUACGGGAAAAAGAUAUAUGGCAUAUUGGAACGAAAAUCAAUUGAUAGUAAGUAGUAGCCAUUGGUUUGCAUUUUUAGCACAUCAUGAUAUGGUCCAAAAAAACUUUACCUCGUGCGAAAAGCUUAAAUUCCAAUUCAAAACAAACUAGACGUUUCCAUUGCCUCUUAAAUCGUUGUCUAAGGUCGCUCCAAAGAGAAAGUAGGAAGGAGAAGCAUGUUACACUAGAGAAAUAGAAAAGCCAAUUUUCUUUUUAUAUAAAAGGCACAGUUGGUACAUAGAAUGUGACAUAUUCAAAAGCCUGCAAAUGUUGACAAAAGAAAGAAUCAAAACCUUUUUCCUUUGUGUCUUCGAUAGCGAUGACCUUUGUUUGUUUGCCUCAUAAUCAGCUAAUUCCGUAAGCAUUUAAUAUUUAUUUCCUUCUUCCAUAUUUUCUCCUUUUUUUUUAAGUCCACAAUAUUUACCUCCAGUCCCCACUAAGCCAUUUCUUCUUUCCUUUUUUAGACUGGACGAGAUGGGGGUGUAUAAUUCAGUGCUUGAAUAGUAGUAGCAUCAAGAUUUAGAAAGAGAUGUCUUGGGAAAUCGAAGAGAUUGGAGAAGAUAGCAAGAGUGAAGUAAGUAACAAAGAUGGUGGCGGAGGAAUAACGAAUGAUGUUUAUGUAGCUGUUGGCAAAAAUGACUUGCAUGUUCUUCACUGGGCACUUGAUCAUGUCAUCUCCCCAGGAAUUCGCAUUUGCCUUGUCCAUAUUUUUCCUCCUAUUACUUACAUUCCUUCACCAGGUAAUUGUUACUCCAUUUCUCAAUUUUGUGUGAAUUUGAUGCUUCAUCCUAAACAGUCGCACAGAAAUAGGAAAUUGUGUUACUUUUUCAUACUGUGUCUUCACUACUUUUUCCCCUUGAUUACUAGUUUACUACAGCUUUACAGAAUGAUGUAUUUAAGAAAUCAGGGGGAAUGCUAAGUUAGGAUAAUCAGUACAUCAAGCAACAACGUACCUAAUAAAAUUUCACCAAUAAGGUCUGGAGAGAGUAGAGUGUACGCAGACCUUACUCCUAUUCAAGUUGUUUCCGGCAGGCUCUCGAAAUCCUAGAAUACGAAUAGUUUUUUAGUUACAUGAUUAGGAUAUUUAAUAUUCUGGCUCAAUUUCUUGCUUAUGUGACUAGAGUGACGCCACUUGAAAAAUAAUACACACACACACACAAAAAUCAAUUUAAGGUAAUAAUUAAAGUCUUAAAACUCUAAACUCAAACCAUUUACAAGCCGGAUUAUGAUAGUAGAUCAAAAUAAUUGUGCGAAAUUCUGCAUACGUUAUUGAUUGCGGCAUCCUGAUUAUUAGGGGUGUACAAAAAAACUGACAAACCGCACUAACCCGAUAAUUCGAGUUAAACCGAGAAAAAAAAUCCGACAAUGGUUUGGUUUGACUUGGUUUGUUGUUGGAAAAAAAAAUCCGACCAUAAUUGGUUUGGUUUGGUUUUAACUAAAGAAAGUCAAACCNNNNNNNNNNNNNNNNNNNNNNNNNNNNNNNNNNNNNNNNNNNNNNNNNNNNNNNNNNNNNNNNNNNNNNNNNNNNNNNNNNNNNNNNNNNNNNNNNNNNNNNNNNNNNNNNNNNNNNNNNNNNNNNNNNNNNNNUAAUUUAUAAAUAUUUCUUAAAAAAUUUCAUAAUUUUAUCUUUUAAGGUAUUAUUUCAAGGUUGGAUUUAGAACUUUUGAAUGCUCCAAUAAGUUUUAUUUCCAUUAAUAUUAGUAAAUUAAAUAAUGAUAACAAUCAAUACUAAUGUUAAUAAAAGACAUUCAAUUCAAUAUUAAGAACGGGAAUGUAUUGAAUGUCUAUUUUUUAUUUUGUAAUAAUUUAUAUAAAAAUGCAUAACCUAUUUGUAUUUUUGCUUUAGCUUUUAGUCAUAUAAUUAAUACUCCCUUAUUAGUCUAUUUAGCUUAGCAUGACUUAGUGCUUUUAGAUUAUGUUUAUUUUCCUUAUGGCUUUUUAAUUAGCAAUAUUUAUAUUACUUAAUUUUAUUGUCUUUAUUGUUGAAUAUUUUAGGAUAAUGUCAUGAGUCAUGACACAUUUCAUAUUUUGUAUUAUUAUCUUGGAAAAUACUUUAUAUAGUUGUAUCUUACUAGGAUUAAAGAAAUAUUUUGAGCAUACGUUAUAUGUUUUGUUCUACAAAGAUUUUAUCGAAAAAUAAUAUCCGAAAAAACCCGAAUAACCCGAUAAAAUUCGAGAAAAAGCGAUAUUGAAAAACCCGAAUUUUCUUGGUUUAGUUUGGUCUUUCAAUUUAAUAACUCGACACAAUUGGUUUGGUUUGAUAAUUGUAAAAUACGAACCAACCCGGCAUAUGUACACCCUUACUGAUCACAUGAAGAUGCCUGGCAAUCAUAGAGAAUUAAUAUCAAUUCCCAAAAUUAUUUCAAUUUCAUUCCAUUCAUUUUUACUUGUCCAAUAUUUUAAAAAUAGAUUUUCAAUUUUAGAAAAAUAAUUUGGUUUUUCUAUUUUGCCUAUAGCAUUAAUUAUUUAUUAUAAAUUAUUUUUUAAAUCUAUUAAGAGAAUAUACUAGUUAAUACGGGUAUCAUGGUAAAUUCUGUAUUUUAUUUAUUAUUUUUUAAAGGUAUAAAUGGACAAGUAAAGUGCAGUGAGGGAGAAUAUUUUUAAUUUCUAUCGAGGUGAGCCAAACCAAAAGUAUGGUGCUUCUGACCUUGUAGUAGCUAACGACGAGACUAUAUGUUACGUCACAAUGUAUCUGGUCUUUUGUCAAUUAAGAUCCUAGUUGAGAUAAAUAAAUUGUUUGCGCAUUGCGUCAUUUAUAUUCCAACUAUAAUUUCCGUGGUUCUUGAACAAACUUUAGCAGAAAGAGUGAAAUAUAAAUGUCGAAAAAGAAAAAGAAAAGGACUUUUUGACCAACUUGUUAACAAUUUGAAUUUUGCUUUGAAAGUUGGAAAGUUAUCAAAAAGCCAAUUGAGCAGAGAACAAGUGCAAGCCUACAUCAAUCAAGAGAAUAACAGGAGGAAAAGUCUCUUGGAAAGAUACAUUCGCCUAUGCAAUGAUGCCAAGGUAGGUAAAUUUCCACAUUAUCUGCAAAAUUCCCAUUUUAGCCAAAACCAAAGUUUGAUAUGAUCUUGUUGACAUUUACAGAUUAACUGGGAAAUAAUGCAGGUACCAGUAGAUACUGUAGUUGUAGAGAGCAAAUCACCAGCCAAAACAUUACUUGAUCUAAUCACCGUCGUCAACGUUACCAGCCUUGUGAUUGGAACUAAACGAUCACUUUCCACAAUGUAAAUAUAGUUCUCUAUGAUAUUUUUAUCCAAUUUUGAUGAUUAUAAGUUGGAAUUUGAAGAACUGAAGAGUUUAUUUUCGUUUCAGACGAGUGAAGAAGGGACAUGGAGUGGGAGAAUAUGUUCAAAAAAAUGCACCAGAUUUCUGUCAAGUUAAGGUCGUUAGUGAAGACAAAGAGAUUAAGAAGGAGCAGCUGAAAAGGAGUAGCAAUCCUACUUCUCUUGUGCCUAGUAAACAAUCUGAUAGGAAUUUCUUUGAAUGCAUGUGCUUUUCUGGCAAGUUUAAUUGAAAUGUGGGAAGAAAUACGAGGAAAGUUGGUCUUUGUACAAGUUUAAUAGCAUAGCGUUACUCCCAAUUUUAGUUUUUAUGGCUAGUACUUAAAAUGAUAACAUAGAGAAAAGAUUCCAAAAUGUCCACUAUUAAAUAACCUACUUAAUUUUUUUAUUCAGAAGUUGCAUUUUGGUAACUUUGAUUAUGGUGUUAAGUUGUGUUACCUCCAUUUCAAUUUGAAGAAGGUAUCUCUUAUCUGUUUGUUAAUUGGGGAGAGUCUAUAUUAAAUCGAUCAUUAUUUUGUACGAAUUAUAAGCUACAUCUUUUAAAAAUAUACUAUUGUUAGAUUAAAUUAUACAUUCAAGUAGACACUUUAAAAUUAAACAACGAAACUUUGUUUGAUACCCACUUUAAUUUUUUUGUACUCAUUUUUGUUUCUUUUGUUUAUUCCCUUCACAAGUGUCCUGCCUGCACUUCGCGCAAUAAAAAAAACAAAUUAAAAUAUUUUUUUGGUAAGUAGUUAUUAUAUUACCAAUAACAAUAUGUACAACCCCAAUCUCACCUUUGCUAGCUUCUAUCCACUACAUAAUUCACUCCAUCAGUCUACUACUUACAGGAUCGAUGGCAGUGGUCAAGUGCGCUGGACGACACGGUAUUCUUGUUUAAAUAGUACUAUCGACUGGAGAUCGGAUUGCUACCAGAGAGAGGAAUGACUAUAGGCACGGAACUUACUUUUGACCCCCCAUAGCUGCAGGAUUAUUGGGGCAUCGUUCAUUAUCUCACUCGACGAGCCCUUCUCCAAAAAAAGACAAUAGGUUGUGGCGAGACUGUCGACAUCGAUCAAAUCCGGACUGAUCGUCCUUGAAAUGACAGUCCUCGUAAGCUCAACCCAGGAGUUCCCCCUUGAUUUGAUUCAAUCCGAUCAUGCCCAACUAUGCCUUCUAAAGAACAAAGCGAUCUUUGCAAAUAUAAUUCGAUUUUAAGUUCGAAGUCGAAUCCUCAGGAAACUAACCUAUCUAUUACAACUCUUUGGCAAUGCUAUUAUCAACUCAACCAAUUUCUAGGCGCAAGAUUUUUAUCAAUCAAUCUUGAGUUUUGUUUAACUACUUCAAAUAAUAUUAGAAAUAACAAUAUGCUAGAUCAAAGAUAAUUCAAUGGUAAAAAGGUCUAGGGCAGUGAUUUCCCCAAUUGCUAGUUUAGGUCUUGACUCUUUCUCUAAAUCUCGCUGUAAUACUCUAUGAGGGUUAAGAGCUAUAGGUUAUCGUAAUUAUCUCUCGAUCAACUACAAUAAUUUACUAAAACAUUCUCUCGAACUACUCUAGCUGACAAUAUGUGCAGCUCUAAAUUAUCCACCAAAGUUUCGUUAUCUCUAAACCCACUUUUAAGUUCAAGUUAUGAAUCUCUUUAAUUACCCAAAAGUGGUGUUGUUCAACAACAAUCUAACCUAAUAUUCUUUCUCAAACAAUACGAGGUAAUUAGACACGAUUAAUCAAGGGGCCAUUCAAUUAAUCACCGUACAAAUCUUUGUGCUCAGCCAAGUGGUAAAAAAAAUCUGAAAAACUUAGGCUUCUUUGUACUGUCUUUGAAUUGAAUGCACAGAGGGGAGUGAUCGAAGAAGUAGGGAUCCAUCAUUAGUACAUCUAAAUGCAGCAAUUGUGUCAUCCAUUCAGAGUUACAAUUGCUCUAUUAAUUCUGCUAAACACAUAAUUGUUAGCCCAUGUAUAGUUCCUGCCUACUGCUCUUAUUUCAGUCAUACCAGCAUCCAUAAGAAAUUGCUGAAAAUCCCUAACUUCCAGCUCCUGAGCAGGAUUACCAUCAUACAUAUCAUCUACACUUACUACUGCAUUAUAAUCUCCCAUACAAAGCCAUGGCCCCUGUAUCAUUUGGUGUACACUCGGUAAUUCGGUCCAUAAACUUCUUUUGUCCACAAUAGUAUGUACUUCAUAUAUAGCUUAAAGCUAAACUGCAAUCUCUGAAUUAGGACCUUUCCAUGAAUAUUAUUUUAUAAAUCCGCAACUUUUAUAAAAGAUUGUUAAUCUUUACUUGCCAAUUUUUUCGUUGUUCUACUAUUUUCAUGAUUCCUUUAACAUUGUAUGUAAAAUUAUUAGAUAGAUUGUGAAAAAAAAUUUUGGUCAUUGGAGAGAUUGUGAACUACUCGGGAGCUACAUAUGACCUAUCACACCCAGAACAUUCGUUUCAACUUUCUUUUUUAGUUUGUUAUCUACGCCAUCUCCUGCUCUCUUAAGCUCAUGAAUAAUUAUAUCAAUGCCCAUUAGUUGUUCUUCCCUGGACAACUUAUUUGUUGAAAAAAAUGAUAAAAUAAAAAUGACGAAAUACAUAAAUGGCCCCUUUAAGUACUCCCUAUGAUGAGAGCAUCAACUUACAUUCUUGAGUUUUCGCAUCCCAAUUUUGUGUAUUAGCUUCUUGAAGGUUAACAUCGGUAGAGACUUGGUGAACAAAUCAGCCAUAUUAUCACUUGAACGAAUCUGUUGCACAUUGAUAUCACCAUUCUUUUGAAGAUCAUGCGUGAAAAAUAAUUUUGGUGAAAUAUGCUUUGUCCUAUCUCCUUUUGUGUAUCCUCCCUUCAAUUGAGCUAUGCAUGCUGCAUUGUCUUCAUACAAAAUCGUGGGUAGUUUGCCACAUUUCAAACCACAUUUAUCUCGAAUGAGAUGUAUUAUAGACCUUAUCCAUACACUCUAGACUUGCUUCAUGAAUAGCAAUUAUCUCAGCAUGAUUAGAUGAAGUAGCCAUAAUUGAUUGCUUAGUCGAUCGCCAAGAUAUGGCAGUGCCUCCACAGGUAUACACAUAACCUGUUUGAUAUCGAGCCUUGUAGGGGUCAGAUAAAUACUCAGCAUCAGCAUAACCAACAAGAUCAGGACUGCUACUACUACCAUAAAAUAAGCCCAUAUCGGUAGCCCCUUUUAUAUACCGCAAUAUGUUUCUUUAUAGGAGCAGAGUUAUAUCUUGCUAAGACAUUAACUGAAAAGUUAUGUCAGGCCUUGUAGUAUUGGCAAGAUACAUUAGUGCACCAAUUGCACUAGGAUAUGGUACUUCAGGACCAAGUAGAUCUUCAUUCUCUUCUUGAGGUCGGCAUGGAUCCUUAUUCACAUCAAGUGAUCGAACAACCAUUGGAGUACUUAAUGGAUGUGCUCCAUNNNNNNNNNNNNNNNNNNNNNNNNNNNNNNNNNNNNNNNNNNNNNNNNNNNNNNNNNNNNNNNNNNNNNNNNNNNNNNNNNNNNNNNNNNNNNNNNNNNNNNNNNNNNNNNNNNNNNNNNNNNNNNNNNNNNNNNNNNNNNNNNNNNNNNNNNNNNNUAAUUUUGUCUUUCCGAGAUCUUUCAUCUCGAAUUCCUUCUUUAAAUAAUCAAUUGCCUUUUGGAGUUCUAUAAGAGUUCCAAUAAGGUUUAUGUCAUCAUCAUAUACGGUAAGUACAACAAAUUCCGAUGUUGUUUUCUUUAUAAAAAUGCAUGUGCAAAUGGAAUCAUUUAUAUAGCUUUCCUUUAAUAAAUACUCACUAACACGAUUAUACCACAUUCGUCCUGAUUGCUUUAGACCAUAAAAAGAUCUUUACAAUUUCAUUGAAAACAUUUCCCGAGACUUAGAAUUAUGUGCGUUUGACAUUUUAAAUCCAUCAGGAAUUUUCAUGCAUAUCUCAUUAUCAAGUGAGCCAUUAAGAUAGGCGUUAACCACAUCCAUUAAAUGCAUGUCAAGCUUUUCAUGGACAACAAAACUAAUAAGAUAACGGAACAUUAUAGCAUCCAUAACGAGUGAAUAUGUCUCUUCAUAAUCGACACCAGGCAUUUGUGAAAAUUCUUGUGGAACAAGGCGUUCCAUAUAUCUUUGUACCACGUUUUUUCUCAUUUCUCUUGCGUACAAAGACCCAUUUAUAGCCAACAGGCUUAACACCAUUUGGUGUUGGGACUACAUGCCCCAAAACUUCACGUUUUGCAAGUAAAUUCAACUCUGAUUGGAUUGCUUCUUGCCAUUUUGGAAAAUUAAGUAUUUGUUGACAUUCUCCAACAGAUUAAGGUUCAGGAUCCUUGCUUUCUUGUAUAAUGCUAGAUGCAACAUUAUAUGCAAAGACAUAACCCAACACUAUAUCCACUCGAUUCAAAUUUGUUUCAAUAUCGAUUGGAUUUAUUGAUAGUUCCUUAUUUUCUUGAGUCUCGGGCUCAAUGAAUUUCUCAUUAAUCUCAGAAUUUAUUAAAGCGUGGAUUUCUUCGUAAGAUUCUUUCGUAGUGUCAGUUUGAUCAUUUAUUUUCCUUUUUCUAGGAUUUCGAUUGUCACGACCCAAAAAUUCAAACCCGGUCGUGAUUGCGCCUCUCGUGAAGACAAGGUCAGCCAACUAAGCCAAUUUGUCACUUUAACAAUUUUUAAACAUAAAUAAAUACAACUUAACACAAUAAUAACCAGUGUUUACAGCCCAACAUAUCCUGACCGGGGUGUCACAAGUCACGAGAAUCUAAGGAAUAUGAACACUACUAUAAAACCAGUAAUAUAUAUAGGAAAUUUAGAAUCAAAGGAAGAGAUACGGUGCCACAAACGCUGGCGGUCAUCUUGCUCAGCUACAAUAGAAAUACCUUCAAUCAGAAAUUUAAAAUAAAAGUAAGAGAUACGGUGUCGCAAACGCUGGCGGUAACCUUGCUCGGCUAUAAUAGAAAUACCUUCAAUCAGCUAAUCUCCCGCUACUGGGUGAUCAAUACUUGCAUCUGUACACAAGGUGCAGGGAGUAAAGUGAGUAUUCCACUCAUUGAGUAAUAAAAAUAAAUAAUGGCUGAAAGCAUGAAAUCUCAUAAAGGUACAAUAUAGCGUUAUCUCAAGCAGUAAAAUCAAUUAUACAUAAGACCAUAGAGUAUUAGGUAAUUCUCUUUUUAAAACAUUGAAAACAACAACUUCAAGAACUAAAGAGUAAUCAAAAGCUUGCCCCUCAGGCUCAAUAUCAAACUCUCAGUACAGUAUUAGCCUCACGAGCUCACUCCCAACUCACCAGCGCACAACAUCAGCCCCUCGGGCUCACUUCCAAGUCACCAAGCACAAACAUCGGCCUCUCGGGCCCACUCCCAACUCACCAAACACAAACCGUAGUUGAAUAUUUUGCAUUUCUUAAUGGCGAAGGCACUUGGCCUGAGUCCCAGUUCAACUCGUAGUUGAACUUUUUGUUCUCCCACAUAACUCGCUUCGUGUUGGGCGUUGGGAUAUGAUUCUGGUUUUGGAUCUUGCAUAACUCGUGCUUGUAGUCUUCUUGACCGGUUUGCAUAUGCUACCCCGUUACAGAUUUCGGUUCGAGAUGCUUUUAGAUUUGAUCUGUUUUAGGAUCUUGCACGACUCGUGCUUGUAGUCUUCUUGACUAGUUCGUAUAGGUUACCUCGUUACACAUCUCGGUUCGAGAUGCUUUUGUGCUUUAUUCCUUUUUGGCAGGAUCACGGUAAAAGGGGGUGAGGUACCUUGUGCACAUUUUUCCCGUAGGGAUGGGGGAUCUACUACUACUUCUUCUUCUUCUUCCCCUUGCUCGGAGACGCGGGAUGUGGAAGCAAGCUCAUGUCGAGGCUUUUGAAUUCCUUUUAUCCGACGUGCCGCUUUGGCUUGUUCGAGCUGGGUUGUUUUCUUAUCCGUCAGCGAAUGAUUAUACCUUUUAUUAGCCCGACGAGCUUAGGAGACAAUUAGACACGCUAAUUAUCAUGAAUCUAAUUCUUUUUUGGUCCAAGGAUAAACUACGCGAUUCUGCUAUGAAAUCCCCAUAGACAGCGCCAAAUUAUUUAGCUUAAAGUUCUAGUGUACCUCGUAAGCGUAAAUCAAUUAACGAAAUAAGGUUCAAUCAUAGCACGUCGUAAUAAAUGACCAAAGGAAUAAAGUAAAGAGAUAAGAUGCAAAGCUUUUGAUCAAGAUGUUAAAGGUGGAUAGCAUAUUUGUUGAUUAAGAUUGACAUGGUCUACCUCCCUCUCUUUUAGAAGUAGAGGUGAAGAAGAAGAAGCAACCCCUUUUAGGGUUCUUCCCCUUAAUAUUUAUAGCUGUGAAUCUUGCCAGCUGGCGAUGCACGGCCGUGACUGCGUCGAAGGGACGUCCGUGAACAAUGAGUAGGCCACGGUGUCGUUAAUUAGGUCGAGUAACCUCGGAAUACAUUUCUCAGCGGAUGAUUAUACUUUUUAUUAGCCCGAACGAGCUUAGGAGCCGAUUAAAUACGCUAAUUAUUAUGAAUCUAAUUUUGACCCAUACAGUUAUUAUUCUUAGAAAAAGUAGUAAAAUUAUUAAUUUUCAAUUGUUCAUUUAAUUUUUCUGAAGUAUUUGUUAAAAAAUUGCCGAUGUUAUGAAAUAGAAGAUUCUUACACUUCUAUUUAAGGUGAAUGUCUUUAAUGUACUUAAUNNNNNNNNNNNNNNNNNNNNNNNNNNNNNNNNNNNNNNNNNNNNNNNNNNNNNNNNNNNNNNNNNNNNNNNNNNNNNNNNNNNNNNNNNNNNNNNNNNNNNNNNNNNNNNNNNNNNNNNNNNNNNNNNNNNNNNNNNNNNNNNNNNNNNNNNCCCCUCUCAACUCAAUAAGAAGAACUCUCUCUACUCUUCUCUCUAUUGCUAUUGUUCUUGUUAUAUUGUUCUUGUCUUUUGCUUUAGUUUAUAACAGCCGAAAAAUUAACCAAAACCCUUUCUCUUUUUCGCUUUCUUAUGCUUUCUGGUUUCUGGACACAUUACGUACAGCACGAGAAGGAACUCAGGAAUCUCAAGAAAAAACUACAAUUAAAAAAAAAGAAAAAAGGUACUCUAGUAGAAUAAAACUAUUACCGACUUGAAUAAAUAUUGAGAAAAUAUCUCCUACGCGACUGGUAUUACAUUUUUGAGACAGAAAUACAUAAAGGAAAGACGAUUAAAGAGGAAAAUCCAGUUUCUUUGCCUCCCAUUCAUCUUUCAAAUCCGUAAACCCUAAUUCUCUUUUGCGACCAUGAGCUACUCUAAUUACGACUCCAGAUAUGGUGACUCAGGCUCCUAUCGCCAGCGUCGCAGGUACAUGUUUAAUUCAAGAUUCUUCUUAUUAUUAUGUUGUCACAUGCACUUCGUGAUUUAUACGUAGGAGUAUUAUGUUUCUGCAUAAACUAUACAAGCGUAGAUAACUCUGUUGGCAAUAAAGUUUGAAUCUUGUGAUUGGGUAUUCACUAUUUGCUUGUGUUUCUCCGAUUUCAGUGACCUAGUGGGUCCACCUCAUAUAUAUUCUCGGCCUAUGCCUGGUGGAGCUGCGGCUAGCUACGGUCGUGGUGGGCCCCUUCCUUAUGGCGGUCCACAAGCACCGCCUAUGGACGCUGGUGCUAGAGGGGGUAGUGGUAUGGGUGGAUCUGGACCUCUUGAUGGCGGGUUCAAUGGGUAUCCACCUUUUGAAGGUGGGUUUUCAAGAGGGGCUGGUAUGGGCCGGGACAGUGGCUUUGGAGGUGACAGAGUGGCUAACGGUGGUAUGGGAGACCGGCCUGGGCGAUUCGGUGCAGGGUCAAACAACACUGGAAGUAGGAGUGGUGGAAGAGGAGGUAGGGAUUUUGAUGGAGGCUACAGUGGUGGACGUGGAGGUGGAAGGUUUAGUUCGGAUGGAGGCCGUGGUAGUAGUGGUGGGAGAGGAGGAGGUAGGCAUGGGAGCUCGCGAGAUGAUCUAGACAACCUUACUCUUCCAAAGGCAGACUUUGGAAACUUGGUACCCUUCGAAAAGAAUUUUUAUGUUGAACAUCACUCCGUGAGAAUAAUGACUGAAGAGGAUGUUGCACUAUAUCGUGCACGGCGUGAGAUUACUGUUGAAGGCCAUGAUGUCCCUAGGCCAAUUCAGGUAUGGGAGACCGGCCUGGGCGAUUUGGUGCAGGGUCAAACAACACUGGAAGUAGGAGUGGUGGAAGAGGAGGUAGGGAUUUUGAUGGAGGCUACAGUGGUGGACGUGGAGGUGGAAGGUUUAGUUCGGAUGGAGGCCGUGGUAGUAGUGGUGGGAGAGGAGGAGGUAGGCAUGGGAGCUCGCGAGAUGAUCUAGACAACCUUACUCUUCCAAAGGCAGACUUUGGAAACUUGGUACCCUUCGAGAAGAAUUUUUAUGUUGAACAUCACUCUGUGAGAAUAAUGACUGAAGAGGAUGUUGCACUAUAUCGUGCACGGCGUGAGAUUACUGUUGAAGGCCA